CUCGACAGCGCAUCGGGUUCAGUGCUGUCCCCGAAGCUGGCGACGUUGAGAGAGUGCAUGUGUGCGAAAAGCGUGAGACACUCUUCUGGCAACUGGCUCAUCUUGUCGCCGUUGUGAGUGUGCCCUGUGAGUGCCGCCUGUGCGAGUGUUUUUGCGCGCGAGUGGGUGCAAGCGCCAAGUCUCUUACGCUUCUCUGCUUUCGGAAAACUAACUCUUCGACCUUUUUGAUCACACAGUUCAUAACACCGCUCCAACAGCGGGGGCGUCCACCCUUGUCGCGGCAACGCAGUGCAGAGAAUGCCAGCAACGGGCGCCACACCUGUUUUCUUCUUUUUUUCGUUUUGCUGUCAAAACCCCACCUCACGUCUUCAGCCAUGACGGUGCGUCGAGCAACGGGCGCCCUCUCGCGACGCGGCGUAUUCUCUGCAGCGCACGCAGCCGCCUUCAUCGGCCCUUCGCUUUUUCUUGCAUCUUUUCUUCUGCAAACGCGUCGGCUGCUUCACAUGCCGCCCGGCGGCUUCGAGGAGGCGCUGCCGGACUCGUUUGGCAGACAAAGCGGAAAGGGAGAGCUGAGCAGUGUGAAUCUGCUCACCAGGCGACAGAGUGCACGACGCAUAACGAAGAAUCGGCGAAAACUACGGCUGCCGCCGCCGUCCUCGCCUCCGCCGACGCUCGCCAAGGUGAAAGGUGAGUUGCUGCACCUCAUACAGCAGACGCGGGAGGCACGCGAGGACGCGCUGUCGAGGCCCGCAGAGGCGGUGAACAUGAGCGCGGCAGAGUCGUUCUCGUCUCCGUCCGCAAGCCGCAUCCUGCCGGUCGACGUUGCGGAUAGUAUUUGCCAAGAUGAGGAGGGGGAGGGCAGGUCAACGUCUUGCUCAUCGCACAUCACCCGCUUUGUUUACGAGGCCAGCAACUCCGCACCAGCAAUGAGUGCGGCGAGCUCAUCAUCUCCGGCUUCGUCGCUCACAGUGAAGUCACCACCAGAAGAGGCUUGGACGUCGGACGAGGAUGCUAUGGAGCGGCUCUAUGCUGUCAAGCCGACAAGCACCAUCUUCGGGAGCGAUCUUGACCGACUCGAGCGAGACAUGAUGCGGGAUUACCAUCAGAGAGGAGCCAGGCUUCCACCGCGUGACCGGGUGUACGCCGAGUUUGGUGGCAGCCAACGCGGCCGGCGGAUGCAAUGGGAGCCGUCGUCGUCCUUUGACCGUCUUGCCGCCUCCGAUUUCCGUUUUCAUGCGCGUAGUGAAACAGCUGUUGGGGACGACACUAACCGCAACUUGGCUGCUUACCAUCUUUACGCUGAGGCAUACCAGACGCAGCAGGAGGAGAGCCGGCGGUCUCAACGCGGCAGGGCCACGAAGGGCAAGGGCGUCAACCUUUGCCGCGUCGACCAGGGCGCUAGUGUCGGCGCCGAGACUGACCUUCCUGCCUCGGAGAAUCCCCACUUCCCCACCGGAGGCCCCAGUGACACGAAUCACUUGAGGGCCUCGUCAUCUGAACACGUCGGUGAGUCUGAUGAGGGGCUCCUUAGCGGUGUCCGGAGCGCGCCAAAGGAGGUCGUGGUGAACGCGCGGACAGACUACAAAGCACGGCUAUCAAUCGUGUCAAGUCCACCCUGCGAAGGCGAGGAUGCGAAUCGCAUUGUCUAUGACGCUUAUAACCAGAGGCCGACCGACAACACACUUCUCGAGGUGCGCGGCGCGGAUUACUGGGGCCACUACGAGAACAGACGUCGCGUGGAAGAGCGUAGUGCAUAUCGGCAGGAGGCAGUUGCGAGAGAGGUGCUGCAGGAAGGGGCUGUGGACACGAGCGAGGUGGAGUACAGCACGAACAAGGUCCGCAAGGAGACGCUUCUGUACUUUCAGGCGCACCCCAUCAACGAGAUGAUUCAGGAACCGUUUGUCCGUAUUCGCCAGCUCGUGCCUCCUGGUGGUGGCGCUAGUGUUUCCUUCAACCCCAACGAGCCGCCGCCGACCCCGGCGGAGAGCGAGAAUGGCGGACGAAGGGUCAUUGAGUCGGUCAACAUGGACGCCGACAUACCCGUUCAGGAGGCACGACGGAUGGCACAGGAGCUGGGCCUGGAUUUGGUUCGCAUCGGUGCCAUCUACUCGCAGAAGACGGAUCGCCGUAUCAUUGCACUGUGCAUGAUUGGCGACCACCGCGAGCACAUGCGUGAGAUGAUAAAGUUCAAAAUACAGAAGCUUGGCGUACAGCCUCCACCGACGAAGGAGUGCAUUGAGGUGCCCUUCAAGGGCGGCACUCACCCACACGCGAUACGCUUCAAGUGUGUGGGUGUGGCCAAGCAUCUUCUCCAUCGCCAUGCGAUUCGGAUCAACCUGACCAAGUUCGGCACCCCGCGUGAGGGGUUUCCGGUCUUUCAGAGCAUUCUGGACGAGCUGAAGCGGCAGUGCAUGCGGCUAAAGGCGUACCAUACCGCUGGUCAAAUCCAGUCGAACUACGACGAGAUUUUUUGCUACCUGUAUCCCUCCACGGGACGAUCUCCAAAGACGACUGUGACGCACCCCACACCGCAGCAGGUUCUGGAGGCGCGCGAUGAACGCAUUCUCGAGAAUGAGAAGGAGAUAUACUUUGACGAUCUGCAGGAUAAGGCCACGCGGAAGCAGCGACUGCAGUACAUGCUGAAACUUGAGAACGGCACGGCGUGGGCGGAGAAGGAUGAGGGCAUGUCUCUGCAGCGGCAGCGCGCCAUCAAGGUGAUGCUUGGGUACCUGCCGAAGGGGAACAGAGAGUUGUACGCGGCCCGCGGUGAUGUGAACGUUCCCGCCCCGUUCCGUGCUAGCCACCCGACGUCGGUGCACAAGUGGUCGUACCCGUCCGAGUCCAACUUGGAGCAGGCAAGUCGCGGUGCGGCCGCACUGGGCAAGCGUGCUGCCAUGCCCAUCAGCGAGAUGCACGACGCUGGAGAGAUGCCGGAGAACCCGACGCAGCUCGAUCGCUUUUACUACACGGCGCAGGGACCCGCCCUCGAGAUGGGCGAGUUCAAGGAGGCGCUGGGGCUCAAGGACAACCGGGCGCGGCGUCCGCCUAUGGGGGCGGGGUUUUCCACUCUGGGUGUUGGGUCUGCGGACGAGACUGUGCAGAAUGGCUUUGCGACUAAGUAGACGAGACCACCUCCCUGCCUACCACCGCUAACGGCCUUCUAUGCGACGUGGUCUGUGAGGAGUCGGAAAUGCCCUACGACGAUAACAGGAAUAGUUUUUAAUUUUUUUUUAUCGGCCGCCGUGGGUCACGCCUACGCCGCUGACGCGGGUGACGUGGCUUGUGUGGUGUGUCUUUCCCCCGCUACCCAGGCAGCAGUUGCUUAGCACGUGACGCUUUCUUCUUUGUAUUUCACUUCACAGACAACAUCCCUUCCUGUGUUCGGUGCUCCUCUUUUCAUUGAGCUUACCAACUGCUAUGGGAAGGGGGGAGAUAGAGGCGGUGCGUGUGUGUGGAACUGCGCAUGCUCAUGAGUGAUCACAGAUUUCGAAGUGCCGUCACGUCGAUUAACAAACACAUCAGCGCGCGACAGUGCCAGCGCUCCUCAUGGUGGUCUCCUGCGAUGGUGAACGAUGAAGGGGAAGUAGGGUCUAUAUCUCAUGCGAUGAAGAUGACAUGCACAGAGUUGGUGUGUGUGGGGAGGAACAGCAACUGCGGAGGCACCACCUUUAGAGAGACGACGGGAGCUCGUCACGUUGGCGCGAGACACGCAUCGUCUGUGGUUUCUCUCCUCUCCAUUCGAAGGAUCUCUCUGUCAGUGCGCAACGCGACACUUUUUUCACCCCCUUCCCUUCCUUUGACGUCUACCCUUCUUUGUGCUCACCCGACCUGACCGACUUGAAUAG
RNAcentral lists this unclassified non-coding RNA (3845 nucleotides) under Leishmania donovani. RNAcentral's name for it is "gene:LdHU3.19.1880(CDS-product:hypothetical_prote in_conserved)". The record is from RNAcentral. Lineage: Eukaryota; Euglenozoa; Kinetoplastea; Trypanosomatida; Trypanosomatidae.